RNAcentral lists this ribosomal RNA (500 nucleotides) under uncultured bacterium. Its description in RNAcentral is "partial 16S ribosomal RNA". It matches the Rfam family "Bacterial small subunit ribosomal RNA", at positions 30 to 523 of the family's 1533-position model. The record is from RNAcentral.
AUUGAACGCUGGCGGCAGGCCUAACACAUGCAAGUCGAGCGGAUGACGGGAGCUUGCUCCUUGAUUCAGCGGCGGACGGGUGAGUAAUGCCUAGGAAUCUGCCUGGUAGUGGGGGACAACGUUUCGCAAGGAACGCUAAUACCGCAUACGUCCUACGGGAGAAAGCAGGGGACCUUCGGGCCUUGCGCUAUCAGAUGAGCCUAGGUCGGAUUAGCUAGUAGGUGAGGUAAUGGCUCACCUAGGCGACGAUCCGUAACUGGUCUGAGAGGAUGAUCAGUCACACUGGAACUGAGACACGGUCCAGACUCCUACGGGAGGCAGCAGUGGGGAAUAUUGGACAAUGGGCGAAAGCCUGAUCCAGCCAUGCCGCGUGUGUGAAGAAGGUCUUCGGAUUGUAAAGCACUUUAAGUUGGGAGGAAGGGUUGUACGUUAAUACCGUGCAAUUUUGACGUUACCGACAGAGUAAGCACCGGCUAACUCUGUGCCAGCCGCCGCAGUAA